GACCUCAGAUCAGGCAAGGCUACCC
Molecule: ribosomal RNA, 25 nt
Filed under: Goniastrea minuta
Lineage: Eukaryota; Metazoa; Cnidaria; Anthozoa; Scleractinia; Merulinidae
Description: partial 28S ribosomal RNA
Source: RNAcentral